UACGUAGGGGGCAAGCGUUGUCCGGAUUUAUUGGGCGUAAAGAGCGUGUAGGCGGCCAAACAGGUCCACUGUGAAAACUCGAGGCUCAACCUCGAGAGGUCGGUGGAAACCGUCUGGCUAGAGUCCGGAAGAGGAGAGUGGAAUUCCACGUGUAGCGGUGAAAUGCGUAGAGAUGUGGAGGAACACCAAUGGCGAAGGCAGCCUUCUGGGCCAACACUGACGCUCAUGCACGAAAGCGUGGGGAGCAAACAGG
RNAcentral lists this ribosomal RNA (253 nucleotides) under uncultured bacterium. RNAcentral describes it as "partial 16S ribosomal RNA". It matches the Rfam family "Bacterial small subunit ribosomal RNA", at positions 524 to 776 of the family's 1533-position model. The record is from RNAcentral.